CCUAAUAAACUUCAUUCAUUCUCAUUUCAAUAAAAAGUUUGUUAUUCUAUGGAAUAGGCCUAUGCAUAAUAAAGAUUAUAAAAAUUAUCUCUUGCUUUCUAUAAGAAUAAUAUUAAUUGCUAUGCAGGUCCUCUGCAUUUCAUAAAGAUUGAUUUUAAUUUAAAUUCAAUAGCUCAAGUACUGAAACUUUAUUAUUCUUGCUUUACAGGCAGCUUGGCCUUCUUCCAGUCCUAUCUGGAACAAAACUAUGGCAACAUCGAUAUGGCUGGUUUAGCAGCAGAAGUCACCACAGAGGGUCAUGUGUGGACUACUAAUGCAAAAAAAGUGAAAUUUAUUUGGGAUUAAAAGUUAACAGAACGUUGUGCAACCCGGUGAUAAUCUUGUAUUAAAGGAAGUUCUUAUGUAGCAAGCACAAGUUAUGAAGUUAGUAAAGGCUGUUAUUAAUUACAUCAGAUGACUUUUGUUGCUGCAAGAGUGUCGACCAUGUUCAUCUACUGAAGCUGCAAUGACAUCCACUAUCUCAUAGAAUGUUCUAUGAGCAGUACUUUGAGAAAAAUUAUAUCUGUCAUCA
Nilaparvata lugens (brown planthopper) is the source of this 571-nucleotide long non-coding RNA. RefSeq lists it as uncharacterized. The transcript is spliced from 2 exons. NCBI's taxonomy places the organism in Eukaryota, Metazoa, Arthropoda, Insecta, Hemiptera, Delphacidae. The record is from RefSeq and is a predicted model, not a curated record.